RNAcentral lists this transfer RNA (73 nucleotides) under Carnobacteriaceae bacterium zg-C25. It matches the Rfam family "tRNA". From Rfam's summary of the family: Transfer RNA (tRNA) molecules are approximately 80 nucleotides in length. Their secondary structure includes four short double-helical elements and three loops (D, anti-codon, and T loops). Lineage: Bacteria; Bacillati; Bacillota; Bacilli; Lactobacillales; Carnobacteriaceae. RNAcentral also lists the same sequence under 2 other names. The record is from Rfam by way of RNAcentral.
GCUGCUUUAGCUCAGUCGGUAGAGCGUCACCUUGGUAAGGUGGAGGUCACGGGUUCAAUCCCCGUAAGUAGCU